This 468-nucleotide ribosomal RNA is filed under the name uncultured bacterium. RNAcentral describes it as "partial 16S ribosomal RNA". It matches the Rfam family "Bacterial small subunit ribosomal RNA", at positions 28 to 507 of the family's 1533-position model. The record is from RNAcentral.
GACGAACGCUGGCGGCGUGCUUAACACAUGCAAGUCGAACGGAAAGGCCCUGCUUUUGUGGGGUGCUCGAGUGGCAAACGGGUGAGUAACACGUGAGUAACCUGCCCUUGACUUUGGGAUAACUUCAGGAAACUGGGGCUAAUACCGGAUAGGAGCUCCUGCUGCAUGGUGGGGGUUGGAAAGUUUCGGCGGUUGGGGAUGGACUCGCGGCUUAUCAGCUUGUUGGUGGGGUAGUGGCUUACCAAGGCUUUGACGGGUAGCCGGCCUGAGAGGGUGACCGGCCACAUUGGGACUGAGAUACGGCCCAGACUCCUACGGGAGGCAGCAGUGGGGAAUAUUGCACAAUGGGCGGAAGCCUGAUGCAGCAACGCCGCGUGCGGGAUGACGGCCUUCGGGUUGCAAACCGCUUUCGCCUGUGACGAAGCGUGAGUGACGGUAAUGGGUAAAGAAGCACCGGCUAACUACGUG